RNAcentral lists this ribosomal RNA (326 nucleotides) under uncultured Cercomonas. RNAcentral describes it as "SSU rRNA". The stretch from base 110 to 326 matches the Rfam family "Eukaryotic small subunit ribosomal RNA", at positions 737 to 955 of the family's 1831-position model. The record is from RNAcentral. Lineage: Eukaryota; Cercozoa; Cercomonadida; Cercomonadidae. RNAcentral also lists the same sequence under 1 other name.
GAUUUCUGGUUCGGCGCACUUGGCCCUGCUCGGUUUACGGGUUAGCGUGCCGGUGUGCGCCAUCCAUCCUUCGAGAGAACACUCCUACCCUUUACUGGGCCGGCGGGUGCACUUUCUCGAUCUUUUACUUUGAAAAAAUUAGAGUGUUUAAAGCAGGCUUGCGCUAUGAAUACAUUAGCAUGGAAUAAUAAUUUAGGACUUUGGUCUUAUUUUGUUGGUUUCUAGGACUAAAGUAAUGAUUGAUAGGGACAGUUGGGGGUGCUAGUAUUCAGCGGCCAGAGGUGAAAUUCUUGGAUUCGCUGAAGACUAACUUAUGCGAAAGCAUU